AUGAUAACAAACCUAUUCUCAGUAUUUGACCCUACUUCAAGAGUGUUAAUAUUACCUCUUAACUGGCUAUCCACAUUUCUCGGAAUUUUAUUUUUACCUAUACUUUAUUGAGCUAUACCGUCACGGUGAUCUCUGCUAUGAACUAUAGUCUCAACUACUCUCCACAAAGAAUUUAAAACUCUAUUAGGAACUUCCCACCUAGGUACUACACUUAUAUUUGUUAGACUAUUUAGAUUAAUUGUCUUCAAUAAUUUUCUAGGUCUCCUACCUUACGUUUUCACGAGAUCUAGUCAUCUUACCAUAACUCUUGCUCUGGCCCUACCCCUCUGAUUAGCCUUUAUGAUUUUCGGAUGAGUAAACCACACCCAACAUAUAUUCGCCCAUCUUGUUCCCCAAGGAACUCCGGGCCCGCUUAUACCAUUUAUGGUCUUAAUCGAAACCAUUAGAAACAUUAUUCGACCUGGAACUUUAGCUGUUCGAUUGGCAGCUAAUAUAAUUGCAGGACAUUUAUUAUUAACCCUCCUCGGGAGAACAGGACCUUCAUUAUCUAUAACUCUUGUAUCUAUCUUAAUCAUUGGUCAAAUCUUAUUACUUAUCUUAGAAGCUGCUGUAGCAGUUAUUCAAUCUUAUGUUUUUGCAGUAUUGAGUACCUUAUAUGCUAGUGAAGUUACAUAA
Molecule: unclassified non-coding RNA, 675 nt
Filed under: Penaeus japonicus
Lineage: Eukaryota; Metazoa; Arthropoda; Malacostraca; Decapoda; Penaeidae
Description: aTP synthase subunit a
Source: RNAcentral